Long non-coding RNA from Hyla sarda, 570 nucleotides. RefSeq lists it as uncharacterized. Lineage: Eukaryota; Metazoa; Chordata; Amphibia; Anura; Hylidae. The record is from RefSeq and is a predicted model, not a curated record. The transcript has 3 exons.
UCUCUUGAGUUGUUGCUGAGGUACAGUUUGGUGAGGAGUGAGGUCUGUCUGUGAGGUGGAUCUGAAAGGAGGCCUGAGGCCUAAUCCAGCAACAUAACAUCAACUACCAGUGAACCCCACUACCCAGGUGAAAGUCAAAGCCUUGCGGAAUGGGCUGCAUGCAGAAGCAGUUUCUAAAACAAGAUGAUGCAGCCCGAUAGAGAAGAGUCUGGAGAGUUGGGUGACAGGUCCUCUGUAUGCAGUUUUCAGCUUUCUGCAUAGUUGACACUGCCCUGUGUACGUGCGGAGGAGUGCGCCUUGUUUAAUAAGUGGAUAGAUGACAAUCUCUUCUGCAUCCUGUCCGGGAUCUGUUCCAGCUAUCUCACAUAUCCAGAGGACUCAAUUACACUCCCAGCUCUGUGCAGACUUAAGUGGGAACAUCCAUGUAAUAUGUAUUACCAAUGUUCUUGUCUAAAUUUGAGCAAAAAAAAAAAAAGAGUCAAUCUCAGUCUAAUACAUUGUAUUUAACCCUUUGGCAACAUCCGUUGUACAUGCUGUACUGCUGUACGGAAUGUGCUCAUGAGCAAAACU